UUUAAAGUCUGACCUGCCCAAUGAGUAAUUAAAUGGCCGCAGUAUUUUGACUGUGCAAAGGUAGCAUAAUCAAUAGUUUCUUAAUUAGAAGCUGGAAUGAAAGGUUUGAUGAGAAAAUAUCUGUCUCAAUUUUAAUUUUUUAUAAUUUUAUUUUUAAGUUAAAAAGCUUAAAUUUAUUAAAAAGACGAGAAGACCCUAUAGAGUUUUAAAAAAAUAUUAUUUAAUUAUUUUUAGGUUUAAUUUUUCUUAAAUAUUAUUUUUAUUUUAUUGGGGUGAUUUAAAAAUUGAUAAAACUUUUUAUAUUUUAUAACAUUAAUUAGUGAAUAAAUGAUCCUAUAUUAGUUAGAUUAAAAGAAAAAAUUACCUUAGGGAUAACAGCGUUAUUUUUUUUUAGAGUUCAUAUUAAAAAAAAAGUUUGCGACCUCGAUGUUGGAUUAAAAUUUAAUUUUGGUGUAGAAGCUGAAUAUUUAGGUCUGUUCGACCUUUGAAAUUUUACA
RNAcentral lists this ribosomal RNA (497 nucleotides) under Melandrya sp. UPOL ZL0120. RNAcentral describes it as "partial 16S ribosomal RNA". The stretch from base 371 to 497 matches the Rfam family "Archaeal large subunit ribosomal RNA", at positions 2542 to 2669 of the family's 2987-position model. The record is from RNAcentral. Lineage: Eukaryota; Metazoa; Arthropoda; Insecta; Coleoptera; Melandryidae.